AAAUCCUUCGAUUCGAUGUUAAUUGAUGCAAUUGAUUGUUUAAAGUAGUGUAAUAAGGAGUCUAUUAAUGUUCUGGGUUGUAAAAACAUAGACCCAUAACAUCAAAGUGCACGAAUUUGAAGAUUUGAGCAAGUUGGAAAAAUAGAAUUCUGUUAUUUUUCACCAAAUGUCAGAGGCUAUAACUCUUUGGUCGAUCUCGAGUUUUGUUGUUUAAAAGUUGUUAUAGGUAGCCUGAUAUGUGGUCUUUAAUCUCCAAUAGGAAUAAAGUUCAUAGCUAUUGUAGAUCGGGAUUUAUAAGCGGUCAAAGUGGGUUGACUGGCAUUGACCGGCUGUUCUUCAAACCCAAAAAAUAUUCCAAGUGUCCAGAAAAUAUUUUUUUGGCAAAUGUCAGGCCUUAUAUCUCGGUUAUCUUUAAUGUGUUUUGUGUUCUAAAGGUUGUUAUGUGUAGCUUGUUAUGUGUAUUUAACCUCCAAAAAGAAUCAGGUCCAUAUAUAUUACGUAUUAAGAGUUAUUUAAGGUCAAAGUUGGUUGACCGGCAUUGACCGAAAAAAUUCUGGGCAGCCCAGAAUUUUCUAAGUGUUGAUUUUUCUGACAAGGUUUGACCAUACUUUAUCUGCUUGCUUUCUUGUUGUUAUGAUGAUGUUAAGUGUUAGAAUUGUAGUCCUACAUGUUGUCUACACACUGGAAUUGAUAUAUCACGUAAACGUUGCACGAUCAUCAAGUUAUAGAGGUCCAAAGUAGGCACUUCGAACUGUUCUUUGUGAAGAACAGAUUUGGAAGCUACUUUGAUAGAUUAUUUCUCCCAGAUCUGAUGUUUUUUUAAACGUUAUGAUUGUUUGUAAUUGUAGUCUGGUAUUUCCUUUACAAGACCCAAUUUAUAGAUUGUCCAAAUUCGUUAAGAUGAGAGAGUUAUUCACGGUCAAAGUAGCCCACUCGGUUCUGCCUUAUGAAGAUCUGGGUAGGCUCAAGAACACCUAUAGCGACGGUUCUGUCACUAUAGGGGCCUUUAGCGAC
This 1014-nucleotide long non-coding RNA is filed under the name Panax ginseng (ginseng). Its description in RNAcentral is "long non-coding RNA (PGIN_LNC008602)". The record is from RNAcentral. Lineage: Eukaryota; Viridiplantae; Streptophyta; Magnoliopsida; Apiales; Araliaceae.